AACGAGGCCGACCUGCGGCUGAGUUACCUGCGGAAGGAUCAUUAAUGUGAUGGAUGUGCUAGUCUUGACUUCUCAAUCCUCUUUUCAAUAGUAUUAUUGUUGAGUGGGGGCCUGACGGCUCGAGGAGAAGGGAAAUAAAAGCCCGUUUGGGUGUGCACUCCGAUACAAUAAUCCUCUUUACACCUUGUGCAUCUCAGCCUGCUGAACAAGAAGGAAAUGUUGAAUAACAUUCUUGAUUGG
This 240-nucleotide unclassified non-coding RNA is filed under the name soil metagenome. RNAcentral describes it as "partial contains 5.8S ribosomal RNA, internal transcribed spacer 2, and large subunit ribosomal RNA". The record is from RNAcentral.